CCCUAUUGGCUCCCCAGGCCGGUCCCCUCGCUUGGGCCCCAGCCCUCGCUGGUUCCCCCCAACUCAGGUGGUGUUUGAGAAGGGCGGAGUGUACCUGCACACCAGCGCUAAGAAGUAUCAGGACCGAGACUCUCUCAUCGCUGGUGUCAUCCGUGUCGUGGAAAAGGACAAUGACGUCCUCUUGCACUGGGCUCCUGUAGAGGAGGCUGGAGAUUCCACCCAAAUCCUCUUCUCCAAGAAGGACUCCAGUGGGGGUGACUCCUGCGCUUCUGAGGAGGAACCAACCUUUGACCCCGGCUAUGAACCUGACUGGGCUGUCAUCAGCACUGUGCGGCCACAGCCCCGCCACUCAGAGCCCACGAGAGAGUCCAGCUGCCCCCAGGGCUCCUGGGCCUUCUCAGUGAGUCUGGGGGAGCUCAAGUCCAUCCGCCGCUCCAAGCCGGGCCUCAGCUGGGCCUACCUGGUUCUGGUGACCCAGGCUGGAGGUUCCCUGCCUGCACUGCACUUCCACCGCGGGGGCACCCGCGCCCUGCUCCGCGUCCUCAGCCGCUACCUG
RNAcentral lists this small RNA (556 nucleotides) under Pongo abelii (Sumatran orangutan). Its description in RNAcentral is "processed transcript". The record is from RNAcentral. Lineage: Eukaryota; Metazoa; Chordata; Mammalia; Primates; Hominidae.